Molecule: ribosomal RNA, 253 nt
Filed under: uncultured bacterium
Lineage: Bacteria
Description: partial 16S ribosomal RNA
Rfam family: Bacterial small subunit ribosomal RNA
Source: RNAcentral
UACGGGGGGGGUAAGCGUUGUUCGGAAUUACUGGGCGUAAAGGGUUCGUAGGUGGCCAACUAAGUCAGACGUGAAAUCCCUCAGCUUAACUGGGGAACUGCGUCUGAUACUGGAUGGCUUGAGUGCAGGAGAGGAAUGCGGAAUUCCAGGUGUAGCGGUGAAAUGCGUAGAUAUCUGGAGGAACACCGGUGGCGAAGGCGGCAUUCUGGACUGUAACUGACACUGAUGAACGAAAGCCAGGGGAGCAAACGGG